AUACAGAGGGUGCAAGCGUUAUUCGGAAUUACUGGGCGUAAAGCGCGCGUAGGCGGAUGAUUAAGUCAGUUGUGAAAGCCCUGGGCUCAACCUAGGAACUGCAUCUGAUACUGGUCGUCUAGAGUUUAAGAGAGGGAAGUGGAAUUCCAGGUGUAGCAGUGAAAUGCGUAGAUAUCUGGAGGAACAUCAGUGGCGAAGGCGACUUCCUGGCUUAAAACUGACGCUGAGGUGCGAAAGCGUGGGUAGCGAACGGGAUUAGAAACCCUGGUAGUCC
RNAcentral lists this ribosomal RNA (274 nucleotides) under uncultured bacterium. Its description in RNAcentral is "partial 16S ribosomal RNA". It matches the Rfam family "Bacterial small subunit ribosomal RNA", at positions 523 to 796 of the family's 1533-position model. The record is from RNAcentral.